RNAcentral lists this ribosomal RNA (432 nucleotides) under uncultured bacterium. RNAcentral's name for it is "partial 16S ribosomal RNA". It matches the Rfam family "Bacterial small subunit ribosomal RNA", at positions 338 to 795 of the family's 1533-position model. The record is from RNAcentral.
CCUACGGGGGGCUGCAGUAAGGAAUAUUGGUCAAUGGAGGCAACUCUGAACCAGCCAUGCCGCGUGCAGGAAGACGGCCUAUGGGUUGUAAACUGCUUUUAUACGGGAAUAUGUACUGUAAGAAUAAGGAUCGGCUAACUCCGUGCCAGCAGCCGCGGUAAUAAGGAGGAUCCAAGCGUUAUCCGGAUUUAUUGGGUUUAAAGGGUGCGUAGGCGGCCUAUUAAGUCAGGUGUGAAAGACGGGGGCUCAACCAUCGCAGUGCCCUUGAUACUGAUGGGCUUGAAUACACUUGAGGUAGGCGGAAUGUGACAAGUAGCGGUGAAAUGCAUAGAUAUGUCACAGAACACCAAUUGCGAAGGCAGCUUACUAAGGUGCAUUGACGCUGAGGCACGAAAGCGUGGGGAUCAAACAGGAUUAGAUACCCUUGUAGUC